AUUGAACGCUGGCGGCAUGCCUUACACAUGCAAGUCGAACGGCAGCACGGGAGCAAUCCUGGUGGCGAGUGGCGAACGGGUGAGUAAUAUAUCGGAACGUGCCCAGUCGUGGGGGAUAACGUAGCGAAAGCUACGCUAAUACCGCAUACGAUCUAUGGAUGAAAGCGGGGGAUCGCAAGACCUCGCGCGAUUGGAGCGGCCGAUAUCAGAUUAGGUAGUUGGUGAGGUAAAGGCUCACCAAGCCGACGAUCUGUAGCUGGUCUGAGAGGACGACCAGCCACACUGGGACUGAGACACGGCCCAGACUCCUACGGGAGGCAGCAGUGGGGAAUUUUGGACAAUGGGCGCAAGCCUGAUCCAGCAAUGCCGCGUGCAGGAUGAAGGCCUUCGGGUUGUAAACUGCUUUGUACGGAACGAAACGGUGGGCUCUAAUACAGUUUGCUAAUGACGGUACCGUAAGAAUAAGCACCGGCUAACUACGUG
Molecule: ribosomal RNA, 483 nt
Filed under: uncultured bacterium
Lineage: Bacteria
Description: bacterial SSU rRNA
Rfam family: Bacterial small subunit ribosomal RNA
Source: RNAcentral